RNAcentral lists this ribosomal RNA (494 nucleotides) under uncultured bacterium. RNAcentral's name for it is "partial 16S ribosomal RNA". It matches the Rfam family "Bacterial small subunit ribosomal RNA", at positions 28 to 507 of the family's 1533-position model. The record is from RNAcentral.
GACGAACGCUGGCGGCGUGCUUAACACAUGCAAGUCGAACGGUGAAGCGCCUUCCUUUUUGGUGGGUGUGGAUGAGUGGCGAACGGGUGAGUAACACGUGAGUAACCUGCCCCCUUCUUCUGGAUAACCGCAUGAAAGUGUGGCUAAUACGGGAUAUUCUGGGUCUGUCGCAUGAUGGGUCUGGGAAAGAUAUUGUUUCGGUGGGGGAUGGGCUCGCGGCCUAUCAGCUUGUUGGUGGGGUGAUGGCCUACCAAGGCGGUGACGGGUAGCCGGCCUGAGAGGGUGGACGGUCUCACUGGGACUGAGACACGGCCCAGACUCCUACGGGAGGCAGCAGUGGGGAAUAUUGCACAAUGGGCGCAAGCCUGAUGCAGCGACGCCGCGUGAGGGAUGGAGGCCUUCGGGUUGUGAACCUCUUUCGCCAGUGAAGCAGGCCUGCCUCGUUUGUGGGUGGGUUGACGGUAGCUGGAUAAGAAGCGCCGGCUAACUACGUG